GUCCCCGUAGUUUAAUGGAUAAAACGAGAGCCUUCUAAGCUCUAGAUCAAGGUUCGAUUCCUUGCGGGGGCA
Molecule: transfer RNA, 72 nt
Filed under: Candidatus Lloydbacteria bacterium
Lineage: Bacteria; Candidatus Lloydiibacteriota
Description: tRNA-Arg
Rfam family: tRNA
About the family: Transfer RNA (tRNA) molecules are approximately 80 nucleotides in length. Their secondary structure includes four short double-helical elements and three loops (D, anti-codon, and T loops). Further hydrogen bonds mediate the characteristic L-shaped molecular structure. tRNAs have two regions of fundamental functional importance: the anti-codon, which is responsible for specific mRNA codon recognition, and the 3' end, to which the tRNAs corresponding amino acid is attached (by aminoacyl-tRNA synthetases). tRNAs cope with the degeneracy of the genetic code in two manners: having more than one tRNA (with a specific anti-codon) for a particular amino acid; and 'wobble' base-pairing, i.e. permitting non-standard base-pairing at the 3rd anti-codon position.
Source: RNAcentral